Molecule: ribosomal RNA, 536 nt
Filed under: Hyla savignyi (Savingny's treefrog)
Lineage: Eukaryota; Metazoa; Chordata; Amphibia; Anura; Hylidae
Description: partial 16S ribosomal RNA
Rfam family: Archaeal large subunit ribosomal RNA
Source: RNAcentral
AAAACUUAAUUUCCACAACGUUAAUCUAACACAAGGGCAUUUCAAGUAAGAUUAAAAGAAAAAGAAGGAACUCGGCAAAUAUUAACCUCGCCUGUUUACCAAAAACAUCGCCUCUUGACUCGAUAUAAGAGGUCCAGCCUGCCCAGUGACUUUGUUCAACGGCCGCGGUAUCCUAACCGUGCGAAGGUAGCGUAAUCACUUGUUCUUUAAAUGAGGACUAGUAUGAAUGGCACCACGAGGGUUACACUGUCUCCUUUUUCUAAUCAGUGAAACUAAUCUCCCCGUGAAGAAGCGGGGAUAAGCAUAUAAGACGAGAAGACCCUAUGGAGCUUUAAACUUAAUAACACUUGCCUUUUAAUAUUAAUACCCCAGAGUACCAAACACCUAUAAUGGCCUAUUGAUUAUUAGUUUUAGGUUGGGGUGACCGCGGAGCAAAAAACAACCUCCGCAUUGAAUGGGGAACACCCCCUGAGCCAUGAGCCACAACUCUCUGCACCAAUAAAUUGACACUCAUUGACCCAAUAUAUUGAUCAACG